CCUACGGGUGGCAGCAGUGAGGAAUAUUGGUCAAUGGCCGUAAUGCUGAACCAGCCAAGUCGCGUGAGGGAAGAAGGAUCUAUGGUUUGUAAACUUCUUUUAUAGGGGAAUAAAGGUAUCCACGUGUGGAUAUUUGCAUGUACCCUAUGACUAAGCAUCGGCUAACUCCGUGCCAGCAUCAGCGGUAAUACGGAGGAUGCGAGCGUUCUCCGGGUUUAUUGGGUGUAAAGGGUGCGUAGGGGGUUUUUGAGGUCAGCGGUGAAAGUGUGGGGCUAAACAAUCAAAUUGCCGUUGAAACUGGAAGACUUGAGUGUGUUUGAGGUAGGCGGAAUGCGUGGUGUAGCGGUGAAAUGCGUAGAUAUCACGCAGAACUCCGAUUGCGAAGGCAGCCUACUAGGCCAUAACUGACACUGAAGCACGAAAGCGUGGGGAUCAAACAGGAUUAGAUACCCUUGUAGUC
RNAcentral lists this ribosomal RNA (460 nucleotides) under uncultured bacterium. RNAcentral describes it as "partial 16S ribosomal RNA". It matches the Rfam family "Bacterial small subunit ribosomal RNA", at positions 338 to 795 of the family's 1533-position model. The record is from RNAcentral.